RNAcentral lists this non-coding RNA (21 nucleotides) under Arabidopsis thaliana (thale cress). Lineage: Eukaryota; Viridiplantae; Streptophyta; Magnoliopsida; Brassicales; Brassicaceae. The record is from RNAcentral.
UCUGUCUGCUGCCACCAUUAC